GCUCUCUGGGGCACCCAAUCUCCCCUCUGGCCUCCCACCUUUCCUCCUGCAGGCGCUGCCGCACAAUAAAUCGCAGUGGGAGGCAGGCUUGGCUCCCCAGCGCCAGGAAGCAGCUGCCCCUCCCUCUGGAUCACACAGGGUUUUUGCCGUAGUGGUGACAGCCCAAUUGGGGCACCAGGGAAGCGAUUGAUUCGUCUACUGCCAGCAACCCUGAGUUGCAUAUACUGCUGGGAGAGGGAGAGGGAAGAAAGGGAGAAAAGAGGAGAGGAGAGGAGAGGAGAGAGAAGGGGGGAGGGAGGGAGGGAGGGAGGGAGAGAGAGAGAGAGAGAGAAAGAGAGAGACUCACAGAGCAAAACCUUCCAUCCAUGUGGAACAGUCUGGGCGAAUCACCGUCCGCUCUCCACAGACUCCAGCUGCUCUGAGUUUUCUCCUCUGACAGCAGUAUUCCUUUUUGUCUUCAUUCUGCGUGAUUUAGAGGCACCUUCACUGAGCUUUCAAAUCAAGUCACCGGGACUCAGUGUCUUCCCACCAGGCAGGGAAGGCAGGGAGUUGGCAAGGAUUCGAUUCACCCAUUCCACUGCAAUCCUCCACUGUCCUGGUGAGUGACAUUCUCCCUAGCUGUGCAAAUGGGCUAGAGGAUAUGGCAACCCUAAGUGUGUGCAUGGGCUGGAGGGGCAGAGGGUAGUUGGGAAGGUAGGGCUGUUGAGAAAUGGCCAUAGUUAUUUGCCUAUAUCCUGCAGUGUUUUAGGGAUAAAGCGGCACCCCAGGGCAAAUGAGAUUUGGGCUCAGUGCCCAGGGAGGGGGCAAAAUGUGCUCAUGUUUAGGCAAUGCAAUCAGGACAGUAGCUUCUGCCCAGGUUACCCUC
This 865-nucleotide long non-coding RNA is filed under the name Nannospalax galili (Upper Galilee mountains blind mole rat). RNAcentral describes it as "lncRNA (ENSNGAG00000024492.1)". The record is from RNAcentral. Lineage: Eukaryota; Metazoa; Chordata; Mammalia; Rodentia; Spalacidae.